UCCCGAAUGGUGUAAUGGUUAACAUCGCUCGCUCUCACCGAGCAGCUCCGCGUUCGAUUCGCGGUUCGGGAG
Molecule: transfer RNA, 72 nt
Filed under: Endocarpon pusillum
Lineage: Eukaryota; Fungi; Ascomycota; Eurotiomycetes; Verrucariales; Verrucariaceae
Description: tRNA-Glu (CTC) (tRNA-Glu-CTC-1-1)
Source: RNAcentral